Molecule: non-coding RNA, 98 nt
Organism: Lepraria neglecta
Lineage: Eukaryota; Fungi; Ascomycota; Lecanoromycetes; Lecanorales; Stereocaulaceae
Source: the annotation of a GenBank genome assembly
AGUCGCAUGGUCUAAUGGUUAUGAUUUCUCGUUCACAACAUUGUGGAUCUAUGCUUAUUGCACCGAGAAGGUUCUGAGUUCGAUCCUCAGUGCGACUA